GUGUCAGCAGCCGCGGUAAAACGUAGGUGGCGAGCGUUAUCCGGAUUUACUGGGCGUAAAGGGUGUGCAGGCGGCCGCUCAAGUGGUGUGUGAAAUCGCCCGGCUCAACCGGGCGCGGUCAGGCCAGACUGAGGGGCUGGAGUGCGGGAGAGGGGCGUGGAAUUCCGGGUGUAGUGGUGAAAUGCGUAGAGAUCCGGAGGAACCCCAGAGGCGAAGGCGGCGCCCUGGCCCGACACUGACGCUGAGACACGACAGCAUGGGGAGCGAACGGGAUUAGAAACCCUCGUAGUCC
RNAcentral lists this ribosomal RNA (292 nucleotides) under uncultured bacterium. RNAcentral describes it as "partial 16S ribosomal RNA". It matches the Rfam family "Bacterial small subunit ribosomal RNA", at positions 505 to 796 of the family's 1533-position model. The record is from RNAcentral.